This 485-nucleotide ribosomal RNA is filed under the name uncultured bacterium. Its description in RNAcentral is "partial 16S ribosomal RNA". It matches the Rfam family "Bacterial small subunit ribosomal RNA", at positions 27 to 507 of the family's 1533-position model. The record is from RNAcentral.
GAUUGAACGCUGGCGGCAUGCCUUACACAUGCAAGUCGAACGGCAGCGCGGGAGCAAUCCUGGCGGCGAGUGGCGAACGGGUGAGUAAUACAUCGGAACGUGCCCAAUCGUGGGGGAUAACGCAGCGAAAGCUGUGCUAAUACCGCAUACGAUCUACGGAUGAAAGCAGGGGAUCGCAAGACCUUGCGCGAAUGGAGCGGCCGAUGGCAGAUUAGGUAGUUGGUGAGGUAAAGGCUCACCAAGCCUUCGAUCUGUAGCUGGUCUGAGAGGACGACCAGCCACACUGGGACUGAGACACGGCCCAGACUCCUACGGGAGGCAGCAGUGGGGAAUUUUGGACAAUGGGCGAAAGCCUGAUCCAGCCAUGCCGCGUGCAGGAUGAAGGCCUUCGGGUUGUAAACUGCUUUUGUACGGAACGAAACGGUCUUUUCUAAUAAAGAAGGCUAAUGACGGUACCGUAAGAAUAAGCACCGGCUAACUACGUG